This is a long non-coding RNA of Micropterus dolomieu (smallmouth bass), 289 nucleotides long. RefSeq lists it as uncharacterized. The transcript is spliced from 2 exons. NCBI's taxonomy places the organism in Eukaryota, Metazoa, Chordata, Actinopteri, Centrarchiformes, Centrarchidae. The record is from RefSeq and is a predicted model, not a curated record.
CAGCCAUCUGUCUUUUCCUCUUCACUUGGCUUCUGGCAAUGCUUGCAAACUUUCUUGCCACAGUCCGAGGACGGCUGAUUGGGAUUGAAUGCCUUUCUGCUCCCUCUACAGGUCGAGAACCUCCGCCCAUCUGGUCAGUCUUCCAAGCUGCCGCCCUGCCAACCCACCAGAGAACAAACAAUUCCCUCUGCCUGCCACGCCUCUGCUUCAACCUGCCUGCUCUGAGCCAUUACCCUAUGCCUGAACCAAGCCUUUACAUGUUGUGCUCUAAUAAAACUGUUAAAAUCUU